This is a non-coding RNA of Myodes glareolus (Bank vole), 2828 nucleotides long. Lineage: Eukaryota; Metazoa; Chordata; Mammalia; Rodentia; Cricetidae. The record is from RefSeq and is a predicted model, not a curated record.
GUUAUUUUAUUUAUUGGUGUGUGUUUAUGACUUUGUGUGAUAGCCCCACUGUGCCGCAGCCCACAUAUAGAAGUCAGAGAACAGCUUUCUGGAGGCUGACCCCUCUUUCUAUCACAGGUUUUGGUUAUUAUGUUCAUGUUGGCAGGCUUGUUCAGCAAGAGUUUCUACUCACUGUUCCAUCUUGCCUGCAACCAACUUCAUUGAAUCUCGUAAUUCUCUAUCUUUUCCAUUCAGGCCUUCUUUGAGCCCCUGCACUAGAACAAUGUAAUUGUCCCCAACAUUCCCUUGUUUCUUGUAUUUCUCUCCUUCAGUGAUCUUUGGUGCACCUGUUGGUUCCCAACCUUAUGUCACAACUGCUGUUCCUCCCCAAAGCCUGUUAAUCCAAGUAUGUGGUGUGAGGUGUGGAUCUCUCUUUCAACAAGGCCUUCGAGGAAAGGGAAUCACGAGUACAACUGUGGCUCAGAGUUUCACCAAGCCUGCUCCAGUAGCAGAAAUCCUGCUAUCCCGUGCCAUUUCUCCCAUGUAGACAGUGAUUACACAGUCUCGACCUAAAUGCCACUUGACCGUGCUAUUCUCCAGCAGAGAAGCAUCUUCUGCAGUAGAUGGGACUUAACACAGAGACCACAACUGGACAAUAUGAAGACUUUAGAACACCCAGCCCUAAAUGGAAUAUCUUCAUCUUAGCCCUCCCUUCAAGGCUCAGGGGCCCCGGGCAGAAAAGGAGGCAGCAAGAGCCAGAGGUGGUGAGAGACACCACAGAAACAGCAUCUUACAGACACAACAUGACUGAUGCCCAUACACAGAGACUAUGGCAGCGCACAUAGAACCUGCACAAGUUGAAGCCAGACAUAACCCAGCCAUGUGACCAAGUCUAUUAUUUAAAGUUGGCAAGUGAGCAGACAAGCCAUCAAUCCAUGGCUUUCUGGUGUGGAAAGCAAGCUUUUUAGGCGCUAUGAAGCCCCGCACUGCAGGUAGGUGUGUUGAAUGGGAGUUAAAGGCAACAUAAGGCCCCUGUAAGAUAAUAUUCUUGGGGAAUGGAUGUUAAGAGUUAGUUUGGGUCUUUACAACAUCAGUCAUAUGGGUAUUGUUUGCAUCUGACAGUUUUUCUUUUAAGAUUAAUGUGCUUAUGAAAACCUUGUGCGUUACUCUGCGAGGCAAGCUUGAAAUCCAUCAGCAUUACCAUCGGAAUGACACAGUGCUGGGAGAGCAAACCAAAUGACAAACAGAAUCUGGUUUUCAGAGGCCAGUGUGUGCUGAAGAGAAAUGAUCUGAAGCCAAACUUGGCCUCCUUCCAGAAAUUCCUCCUGCUGCACUGUUGGCACAGCCCAUAGCAGGGACCCUUGAGCUCACUUGGAGAGAGGGAAAGCACCUGACUUGGUCUCCAGCUCAAGAGCAAAUCCCACCGAUGUUCAGCUGGAGAAACCUGGCUGGCACUUGUAGAUGUAGCAGCUACGGAAGACUCAUGGCGAACUGGCAUCACACAAAGACGGAGAACGGAUGCAGGCCUGGCAGACAGUUUCAUUUCAGCACAAUUUGGCCCGAUCCUACUUUCUCGGCUCAGAAGGUGGGUGGCCAGAAACAGAUGAGAACAACGCUUGAGAGUUUCCUCGACGCACAGUUUUUAUUUUUUUGAGUCCCAAAUCACUUCCAAAUGCAGCCGCUCAGCCAAGCGCCAAGAGAUCACGCUGAGUGAGGCAGCCGCACAUUCGAGAAGGGAGGCAUUGGUGAGACCCCGAGGCAGACUCUGCCAGGGGACUGGGCCAAGAGGCUGUCACUGCCUAGAGGAGGGGGGAGGCUGGAUUUCACACCAUCUCCGCCCAACAGACACUCUGCCAGCGAAAGGGGGCUGCGUCCUGUCUGGCCUGGCCAAGACUAAGUGGCAUGAGGAAUAACCAGAGAGCAGAUUCCGCUAGCUGCCUUGGGAUGCAAUACUAGACAUCUGCAUCUAGGGCGCCCCUUCGAGCUCCAGGCGUUGGAGGAUGGUGAAGACUGGAAUUCAGCCUGGCUGGAGAUGGAUUUCUUAACAAACAGCCUGCAUGCGCAUCUGUGUGGCUUUCAAGGAAGGAAGAGAGACCUGGAGUCUUGAGCGGCUGGAGCUGCCUAAGCCUCUGCGUGGGCUCCUCCCACUUCACUUCCCAGGUGUCUCACUAGAGGACAGCCGAUGUUCAUCCCUGGAGCCUUGGGCAGGUGGACUUCUGAAUGAGUCCCAGGGUACCCGAAGGUAGAAAUUAUUAUACUGCACCUCGACUUUUCCAGAAGGUGGGAGUAUGUUCCCAAAGAUGGCCUUCCUCUAGACGUAAACAGCACAGCAGCUCUGCGGGGGUGGAGGGGCGUUGGACUGUUGACGUCACACCUUUUAUUUUAGCCUACAGGUAGAGACAGUCCAGUGGAGGGAGGAACAGAGUUAGCGUGCCAGUCCCGCUCCUGAUACGCCCACGCAGCCCCUGAGCAAGCCAUUAACAGCCUGGCACCUUUACCCCCACAUCUACAAAAGGCGCUGACAGCGAGGAAUUCAUGGCUUACGGGGUUUAUCGUCAUCACAAACCUAGUCUGUAGACAGAGCAGCAGCUUUCCUAAGAGUCAAGCUCAAAGUCUCGAGAAUAAAUAAAUGGAAUGUAUUUAAAGACUUGAGUGUCUUUCCCAUGAUGGUGGUAGGAACAUAUGGCUGCUUCAUUCUACUGAACUAAAACUCUGGGGGUUUCAAUGUUUCUUUCAUUUUCAGUAAAUAUACAUCUCUCUCUUCUCUUCCCCAGAAGCCUGUACCAUAAGCCAACUUGUGCUUCUGUUGUCCCAUUAAAAUGUCCUGCAGGGGCAUUAUUCACACAGAU